RNAcentral lists this small nuclear RNA (20 nucleotides) under Arabidopsis thaliana (thale cress). RNAcentral's name for it is "snRNA_11617". The record is from RNAcentral. Lineage: Eukaryota; Viridiplantae; Streptophyta; Magnoliopsida; Brassicales; Brassicaceae.
AUGAGUUAGUUCUUCAUGUG